GUAUUUCUUUUAGGAAUUUUUUUAAAAUGCCUAAAGAUCUGAGGCCUUCUCUCCUUCAGGAGAGUGCCUUGAAAUAGAUUAUCUGUACCUCGAGAAGAUGUCUGACGUCUCUUAACAACAGAACAGUAUUUGAAUGGUUUUCAACCUCAAUGCCUACUAAGUUGCUAGGGAAAUAGUCGAUCGAGCUAUAGGUCCAUAAACUAUAGUGCUCCUUCCUCUUGAGGAAAGAGCUCUGAA
Molecule: unclassified non-coding RNA, 237 nt
Filed under: uncultured Chytridiomycetes
Lineage: Eukaryota; Fungi; Chytridiomycota; Chytridiomycetes
Description: sequence contains ITS2
Source: RNAcentral